UUGUGGACCGUAUCCAACGGGUAGUAUGGUGUUAUGUAGCAAAUUUUUUUCACCCUACGAGUUGGUUCAUGGUACCUCAUGAAAUAAUCGUUGAAGUAACGAGAUAAUUCUGAUAGCGUCUACACUAGUACCAAGUACAAAGCGUCGUAGACUUCAUCAAUAUGCUCCAAUUUGACAUUGCACAUCACUGCUGCUGGGGCGGAUGGCUGAGUUGCCAUAGUAAAAAUUAAAUUUUAGAUACUUAGGAAGAGAGUAAAUAAGAUAGUGUGUGAGAAAUUGAAGAAUGAUGGUAUAUAUUUAUAGGGAAGAAGAAAAUAUGAUUUUUAACACAUUUGUCAUUGGACCAAUGAGAAUAGGACAACACAUGUGGGGUAGUGUUUGUUAAAAAAUUGAUUGAGUGAGGGAGUAUCCAAUUUAUGGAAUCUCUAAGAUUGAAGUUGAAAGACAUAUGCAUGCAACAUAAAAAGCAUUCAAAAGGCAAAUGUAUGUCCUAUCCAAUCAAUAAAAACAUUUAACCUAUACCUCUUUUAAUCAAAUCCAGGAUAAAACAAAAAUAAAAUAAUACUUACAUCUUAUAGUACUUUGACCAAUGUAAGAACCUUAACUUUAAUCUUAAUUGAAGGACAAUGCCUGAUUAUAAUGUCAUGAUUUAUUUAUGUCAUUUUGGAAAAUAUUAGCACCAUAUUUCUAUAAAUAGUUUCAAUCACACCUUUUGAGACUUGAGUGGAAGAAAAUACUCGAGCAAAAAUACGUUCUUUCUAAACUCUAUCAGCAAUACUCUGUCAAAAACUUUUUUUUAAAAGAAAGAAUACUCUC
RNAcentral lists this long non-coding RNA (816 nucleotides) under Medicago truncatula (barrel medic). Its description in RNAcentral is "long non-coding RNA (MTRU_LNC008640)". Lineage: Eukaryota; Viridiplantae; Streptophyta; Magnoliopsida; Fabales; Fabaceae. The record is from RNAcentral.